AGGGUCCCCAGGGAGAGCCCGGCCCUCCAGGACAGCAGGGUAACCCAGGUGCCCAGGGUCUUCCAGGCCCCCAGGGUGCCAUCGGCCCGCCAGGAGAAAAGGGUCCCUUGGGUA
Long non-coding RNA from Tupaia belangeri chinensis (Chinese tree shrew), 114 nucleotides. RefSeq lists it as uncharacterized. NCBI's taxonomy places the organism in Eukaryota, Metazoa, Chordata, Mammalia, Scandentia, Tupaiidae. The record is from RefSeq and is a predicted model, not a curated record. The transcript has 3 exons.